AUGACGUCGGCAAUCCCACCCCGAACCCAGCCCCCCGGGGGGCAGCUGGGCGUGCCGGCGGCUCCUUUUCCUCGCGGCUGGCCCACCCUCAACCUCCCACCUCCAUCUAUCCUCUCUUUUCAUCUGGGCCUCCCUCGGUCCUCUCUUUUUCUCUCUCCUCUCCUGAGAUCGACCAUGGAGAAGUCCUGUUCGAGGAGCUGGCCGAGGACGCUGAGCGGGAGCUGCUGCGGGCGGUGCAGGGCACCUUCCUGUGCCGCUCCACCGCCGAGCGCUUGCGCCGGGACGUCGAGCCGCCGCCGCCCCUCGUGCAGCAGAAUGGCCGCCACGCGCUCCGGAGCAACGCCGAGCUGGGCGAGCUCGCCGUGCAACUCAGGGAGCCGCUCGACCUCGCGUGUCGUGCCGCCGCCGCCCUACGCUAGAACGUCUACCGCCCGUCUCCCUGCUCGCCGCCUACUCGCCGCCGUGCCGCGUCUCGUCUCCUGUCUUGCACUCCCCACCUAUUUUGCCUCCCUGCGCUCCGCCGGAGUGGUCGCCCGCGGGAUCUUCUUCGAGUACGCCACGCCGUCCAAGUGUCGCGAGUGCCUGCUGCCGCGGCCAGGAAGCUCGCCGACGCCUGCGACCGGCGUCGGCGUCUGGAUGGACGGCUUCCGCGCGCGCGUCAUCACCGGCGCCAACGCGCUCGCCACCACCUCGUCGUUCGAGCUGCAAAGCCAUAGCGGGCGGGGGCAGCAGCGGAGGGCGGCUGGGUGCGUGCGUGCGCUGGCCGUGACCCGGCAUCCAGCGGAGGACAGCAGCGGGCGGGGGCAGCAGCGGAGCCCAGGGAGGCGAAGCAGCAGAGGGCGGCACGGUGCGUGCGUUCACGCGUGUGGCGGCAGCAGCGGAGAGCGGCCACGGCCAGACGCGGUGGAGGCGACACGUUCGACGGCCCCGCGGCCUCGGACGGGGCGGCGCGGUGAGGAGGACGGCCACGCCUGGGGGUGGAAACGGCUGGAGAUUGUUUCAUUCCAAGUUCAAAAUUCGCGCCGGCAGCCCCCCAAGCGGCGAAAGAAAUGUCUCCCAGAGGGCUCAACGGCUGGAGAUGCUCUAAGACACUUUGGAUAA
RNAcentral lists this ribosomal RNA (1101 nucleotides) under Triticum aestivum (bread wheat). RNAcentral describes it as "partial small subunit ribosomal RNA". Lineage: Eukaryota; Viridiplantae; Streptophyta; Magnoliopsida; Poales; Poaceae. The record is from RNAcentral.